RNAcentral lists this ribosomal RNA (253 nucleotides) under uncultured bacterium. RNAcentral describes it as "partial 16S ribosomal RNA". It matches the Rfam family "Bacterial small subunit ribosomal RNA", at positions 524 to 776 of the family's 1533-position model. The record is from RNAcentral.
UACGAAGGGGGCUAGCGUUGCUCGGAAUCACUGGGCGUAAAGGGUGCGUAGGCGGGUUUUUAAGUCAGGGGUGAAAUCCUGGAGCUCAACUCCAGAACUGCCUUUGAUACUGAGAAGCUUGAGUCCGGGAGAGGUGAGUGGAACUGCGAGUGUAGAGGUGAAAUUCGUAGAUAUUCGCAAGAACACCAGUGGCGAAGGCGGCUCACUGGCCCGAUACUGACGCUGAGGCACGAAAGCGUGGGGAGCAAACAGG